Molecule: ribosomal RNA, 396 nt
Filed under: uncultured bacterium
Lineage: Bacteria
Description: bacterial SSU rRNA
Rfam family: Bacterial small subunit ribosomal RNA
Source: RNAcentral
AAUCAACGCUGGCGGCGUGCCUAACACAUGCAAGUCGAACGCGAAAAGGGGCAACCCUGAGUAGAGUGGCGUCCGGGUGAGUAACACGUGGAUAAUCUGCCUGCGGGCGGGGAAUAACUUUCCGAAAGGGGAGCUAAUACCGCAUAACACCGUAAUGGGCAUCCUGAGACGGUCAAAGAGGGGGAUCGCAAGACCUCUCGCCUGCAGAGGAGUCCGCGGCCGAUUAGCUAGUGGCGAGGUAACGGCUCACCAAGGCGGCGAUCGGUAGCCGGCCUGAGAGGGCGAACGGCCACACUGGCACUGAAAUACGGGCCAGACUCCUACGGGAGGCAGCAGUGGGGAAUUUGGGCAAUGGCCGAAAGGCUGACCCAGCAACGCCGCGUGAAGGAUGAAAUC